GACGAAGGGGGCUAGCGUUGUUCGGAAUUACUGGGCGUAAAGCGCACGUAGGCGGAUUUGUAAGUCAGGGGUGAAAUCCCGGGGCUCAACCUCGGAACUGCCUUUGAUACUGCAAAUCUCGAGUCCGAUAGAGGUGGGUGGAAUUCCUAGUGUAGAGGUGAAAUUCGUAGAUAUUAGGAAGAACACCGGUGGCGAAGGCGGCCCACUGGAUCGGUACUGACGCUGAGGUGCGAAAGCGUGGGGAGCAAACAGG
Molecule: ribosomal RNA, 253 nt
Filed under: uncultured bacterium
Lineage: Bacteria
Description: partial 16S ribosomal RNA
Rfam family: Bacterial small subunit ribosomal RNA
Source: RNAcentral